RNAcentral lists this ribosomal RNA (207 nucleotides) under uncultured bacterium. RNAcentral's name for it is "partial 16S ribosomal RNA". It matches the Rfam family "Bacterial small subunit ribosomal RNA", at positions 568 to 774 of the family's 1533-position model. The record is from RNAcentral.
CGUGUAGGCGGUUUGCCGAGUCAGGCGUGAAAGCCCCGGGCUUAACCUGGGAACUGCGUUUGAUACUGGCAGGCUAGAGGUUGGAAGAGGAGAGUGGAAUUCCCAGUGUAGAGGUGAAAUUCGUAGAUAUUGGGAAGAACACCAGUGGCGAAGGCGGCUCUCUGGUCCACACCUGACGCUGAGGCGCGAAAGCGUGGGGAGCAAACA